This 23-nucleotide non-coding RNA is filed under the name Gossypium hirsutum (cotton). The record is from RNAcentral. Lineage: Eukaryota; Viridiplantae; Streptophyta; Magnoliopsida; Malvales; Malvaceae.
UUCCCAAGAAACCAUUGAGGAGC